UACGGAGGGUGCGAGCGUUAAUCGGAAUUACUGGGCGUAAAGCGCGCGUAGGCGGUUAGAUAAGCCGGAUGUGAAACCCCUGGGCUCAACCUGGGACGUGCAUCCGGAACUGUCUGGCUAGAGUACGGUAGAGGUGAGUGGAAUUUCCUGUGUAGCGGUGAAAUGCGUAGAUAUAGGAAGGAACAUCAGUGGCGAAGGCGGCUCACUGGACUGAUACUGACGCUGAGGUGCGAAAGCGUGGGGAGCAAACAGG
Molecule: unclassified non-coding RNA, 253 nt
Filed under: uncultured Cellvibrionales bacterium
Lineage: Bacteria; Pseudomonadati; Pseudomonadota; Gammaproteobacteria; Cellvibrionales
Description: contains 16S-23S intergenic spacer region
Rfam family: Bacterial small subunit ribosomal RNA
Source: RNAcentral